Molecule: transfer RNA, 61 nt
Filed under: Lygodactylus aff. capensis
Lineage: Eukaryota; Metazoa; Chordata; Lepidosauria; Squamata; Gekkonidae
Description: tRNA-Cys
Source: RNAcentral
GGGGGGUUGGAAACAACGUAAAAUGCAAAUUUUAAUAAGCCCCCCCAAAGGGGGCCCCGGU